Molecule: non-coding RNA, 45 nt
Filed under: Schistosoma haematobium
Lineage: Eukaryota; Metazoa; Platyhelminthes; Trematoda; Strigeidida; Schistosomatidae
Source: RNAcentral
AUUUAGCUGACGAGUCCCAAAUACGACGAGAUACGUGUCGUGGAU